Molecule: ribosomal RNA, 305 nt
Filed under: Bacillus subtilis
Lineage: Bacteria; Bacillati; Bacillota; Bacilli; Caryophanales; Bacillaceae
Description: bacterial SSU rRNA
Rfam family: Bacterial small subunit ribosomal RNA
Source: RNAcentral
GGCCAACCGGAGGAAGGUGGGGAUGACGUCAAAUCAUCAUGCCCCUUAUGACCUGGGCUACACACGUGCUACAAUGGACAGAACAAAGGGCAGCGAAACCGCGAGGUUAAGCCAAUCCCACAAAUCUGUUCUCAGUUCGGAUCGCAGUCUGCAACUCGACUGCGUGAAGCUGGAAUCGCUAGUAAUCGCGGAUCAGCAUGCCGCGGUGAAUACGUUCCCGGGCCUUGUACACACCGCCCGUCACACCACGAGAGUUUGUAACACCCGAAGUCGGUGAGGUAACCUUUUAGGAGCCAGCCGCCGAA